GAGGAUAUAGCUCAGUGGUAGAGCACACGUUUAGUAAGCAGGAGGUCCUGGGUUCAAUCCUCAGUACCUCCA
RNAcentral lists this transfer RNA (72 nucleotides) under Camelus bactrianus (Bactrian camel). It matches the Rfam family "tRNA". Rfam says of the family: Transfer RNA (tRNA) molecules are approximately 80 nucleotides in length. The record is from Rfam by way of RNAcentral. RNAcentral also lists the same sequence under 1 other name. Lineage: Eukaryota; Metazoa; Chordata; Mammalia; Artiodactyla; Camelidae.